RNAcentral lists this ribosomal RNA (304 nucleotides) under uncultured bacterium. RNAcentral describes it as "partial 16S ribosomal RNA". It matches the Rfam family "Bacterial small subunit ribosomal RNA", at positions 506 to 807 of the family's 1533-position model. The record is from RNAcentral.
CAGCAGCAGCCGCGGUAAUACGGAGGGAGCUAGCGUUGUUCGGAAUUACUGGGCGUAAAGCGCGCGUAGGCGGUUACUCAAGUCAGAGGUGAAAGCCCGGGGCUCAACCCCGGAACUGCCUUUGAAACUAGGUGACUAGAAUCUUGGAGGGGUCAGUGGAAUUCCGAGUGUAGAGGUGAAAUUCGUAGAUAUUCGGAAGAACACCAGUGGCGAAGGCGACUGACUGGACAAGUAUUGACGCUGAGGUGCGAAAGCGUGGGGAGCAAACAGGAUUAGAUACCCCAGUAGUCCCUGUCUCUUAUAC